Molecule: long non-coding RNA, 444 nt
Filed under: Homo sapiens (human)
Lineage: Eukaryota; Metazoa; Chordata; Mammalia; Primates; Hominidae
Description: HSALNT0089772
Source: RNAcentral
CAAUUAGUAGAUGGCAUAUGUCCAUUUGUGGCUUGUGCUUCUGGAAAACAAGGCAUGGCUAUCACCACUAGGCAGCUCCCUGGGUUUCCUGAGUCAGCUAUUACCAACGGAACUGCUUCAGUGCUACGGGAAAUGAGGUGAAAAAAGUCAAUGACUACCAGUCAAGCUCCAAAGGAAAUGGCACAGCUAAUCUUGGAGUGUGCCGCCAUCCUCCCCAAACACAUCUCGACUCUGAAAGUGACCCUAUGAAGGCUAUGACUGCUAAGCAGCAGGCAGAACAGGCAACCAUGGAGAAGAUUGUAUGCUGAGAUGGAAGACCCAAAAGAUUGAAGCAGCCUGGAUAACUCGGGUACCACACAGAGGACAACUGCCCUAGAGAGUUGCCUUGACCCGCAAAAGACAUUGCCUGAGAUGAAAAUAAACUUUUAUUGUGUUAAACCUUUG